Molecule: ribosomal RNA, 381 nt
Filed under: uncultured bacterium
Lineage: Bacteria
Description: bacterial SSU rRNA
Rfam family: Bacterial small subunit ribosomal RNA
Source: RNAcentral
AACGAACGCUGGCGGCAGGCCUAACACAUGCAAGUCGAACGCUGUAGCAAUACAGAGUGGCAGACGGGUGAGUAACGCGUGGGAACCUUCCCAGUGGUGCGGAAUAGCUCAGGGAAACUUGAGGUAAUACCGCAUAAGCCCCUAGGGGGAAAGAUUUAUCGCCAUUGGAUGGGCCCGCGUCGGAUUAGCUAGUUGGUGAGGUAAUGGCUCACCAAGGCAACGAUCCGUAGCNGGUUUGAGAGAAUGACCAGCCACACUGGGACUGAGACACGGCCCAGACUCCUACGGGAGGCAGCAGUGGGGAAUCUUGGACAAUGGGCGCAAGCCUGAUCCAGCCAUGCCGCGUGAGUGACGAAGGCCUUAGGGUUGUAAAGCUCUUUU